AGUGAACGCUGGCGGCAGGCCUAACACAUGCAAGUCGAACGGCAGCACAGUGGAGCUUGCUCCAUGGGUGGCGAGUGGCGGACGGGUGAGGAAUACAUCGGAAUCUGCCCAGUCGUGGGGGAUAACAUAGGGAAACUUAUGCUAAUACCGCAUACGACCUACGGGUGAAAGCGGGGGAUCGCAAGACCUCGCGCGAUUGGAUGAGCCGAUGUCCGAUUAGCUAGUUGGCGGGGUAAUGGCCCACCAAGGCGACGAUCGGUAGCUGGUCUGAGAGGAUGAUCAGCCACACUGGAACUGAGACACGGUCCAGACUCCUACGGGAGGCAGCAGUGGGGAAUAUUGGACAAUGGGCGCAAGCCUGAUCCAGCCAUGCCGCGUGGGUGAAGAAGGCCUCGGUGUAAGACCUUGUCG
RNAcentral lists this ribosomal RNA (411 nucleotides) under uncultured bacterium. Its description in RNAcentral is "bacterial SSU rRNA". It matches the Rfam family "Bacterial small subunit ribosomal RNA", at positions 29 to 438 of the family's 1533-position model. The record is from RNAcentral.